Molecule: ribosomal RNA, 483 nt
Filed under: Schaalia odontolytica
Lineage: Bacteria; Bacillati; Actinomycetota; Actinomycetes; Actinomycetales; Actinomycetaceae
Description: bacterial SSU rRNA
Rfam family: Bacterial small subunit ribosomal RNA
Source: RNAcentral
GUGCUUAAACAUGCAAGUCGAACGCUGAAGCCUGGCUUUUGUUGGGUGGAUGAGUGGCGAACGGGUGAGUAACACGUGAGUAACCUGCCCCCUUCUUUGGGAUAACGCCCGGAAACGGGUGCUAAUACUGGAUAUUCACUGGCCUUCGCAUGGGGGUUGGUGGAAAGGGUUUUCUGGUGGGGGAUGGGCUCGCGGCCUAUCAGCUUGUUGGUGGGGUGAUGGCCUACCAAGGCUUUGACGGGUAGCCGGCCUGAGAGGGUGACCGGUCACAUUGGGACUGAGAUACGGCCCAGACUCCUACGGGAGGCAGCAGUGGGGAAUAUUGCACAAUGGGCGCAAGCCUGAUGCAGCGACGCCGCGUGAGGGAUGGAGGCCUUCGGGUUGUGAACCUCUUUCGCUCAUGGUCAAGCCGCAACUGUGGGUUGUGGUGAGGGUAGUGGGUAAAGAAGCGCCGGCUAACUACGUGCCAGCAGCCGCGGUAAU